This 253-nucleotide ribosomal RNA is filed under the name uncultured bacterium. RNAcentral describes it as "partial 16S ribosomal RNA". It matches the Rfam family "Bacterial small subunit ribosomal RNA", at positions 524 to 776 of the family's 1533-position model. The record is from RNAcentral.
UACGAAGGGGGCUAGCGUUGCUCGGAAUUACUGGGCGUAAAGCGCACGCAGGUGGUUUGUUAAGUCAGAUGUGAAAUCCCCGGGCUCAACCUGGGAACUGCAUCUGAUACUGGCAAGCUUGAGUCUCGUAGAGGGGGGUAGAAUUCCAGGUGUAGCGGUGAAAUGCGUAGAGAUCUGGAGGAAUACCGGUGGCGAAGGCGGCCCCCUGGACGAAGACUGACGCUCAGGUGCGAAAGCAUGGCGAGCAAACAGG